AACGCGAAGAACCUUACCUGGGCUCGAACGGCUUAAGAACAUCUUUGGAAACAGAGACUUCCCGCAAGGGACUUGAGUCGAGGUGCUGCAUGGCUGUCGUCAGCUCGUGUCGUGAGAUGUUGGGUUAAGUCCCGCAACGAGCGCAACCCUUGUCCUGUGUUGCCACUCCGUAAGGAAGCACUCGCAGGAGACCGCCAGCGAUAAGCUGGAGGAAGGUGGGGAUGAUGUCAAGUCAUCAUGGCCUUUAUGUCCAGGGCUACACACGUGCUACAAUGGGCGGUACAAAGCGCUGCAAACCCGCGAGGGGGAGCUAAUCGCAAAAAACCGUUCUCAGUUCGGAUCGCAGGCUGCAACUCGCCUGCGUGAAGCUGGAAUCGCUAGUAAUGCCGUAUCAGAAUGAUGGCGUGAAUACGUUCCCGGGCCUUGUA
RNAcentral lists this ribosomal RNA (428 nucleotides) under uncultured Acidobacterium sp. RNAcentral describes it as "bacterial SSU rRNA". It matches the Rfam family "Bacterial small subunit ribosomal RNA", at positions 958 to 1385 of the family's 1533-position model. The record is from RNAcentral. Lineage: Bacteria; Pseudomonadati; Acidobacteriota; Terriglobia; Terriglobales; Acidobacteriaceae.